RNAcentral lists this ribosomal RNA (2903 nucleotides) under Escherichia coli. RNAcentral's name for it is "bacterial LSU rRNA". It matches the Rfam family "Bacterial large subunit ribosomal RNA". Lineage: Bacteria; Pseudomonadati; Pseudomonadota; Gammaproteobacteria; Enterobacterales; Enterobacteriaceae. The record is from RNAcentral.
UUAAGCGACUAAGCGUACACGGUGGAUGCCCUGGCAGUCAGAGGCGAUGAAGGACGUGCUAAUCUGCGAUAAGCGUCGGUAAGGUGAUAUGAACCGUUAUAACCGGCGAUUUCCGAAUGGGGAAACCCAGUGUGUUUCGACACACUAUCAUUAACUGAAUCCAUAGGUUAAUGAGGCGAACCGGGGGAACUGAAACAUCUAAGUACCCCGAGGAAAAGAAAUCAACCGAGAUUCCCCCAGUAGCGGCGAGCGAACGGGGAGGAGCCCAGAGCCUGAAUCAGUGUGUGUGUUAGUGGAAGCGUCUGGAAAGGCGCGCGAUACAGGGUGACAGCCCCGUACACAAAAAUGCACAUGCUGUGAGCUCGAUGAGUAGGGCGGGACACGUGGUAUCCUGUCUGAAUAUGGGGGGACCAUCCUCCAAGGCUAAAUACUCCUGACUGACCGAUAGUGAACCAGUACCGUGAGGGAAAGGCGAAAAGAACCCCGGCGAGGGGAGUGAAAAAGAACCUGAAACCGUGUACGUACAAGCAGUGGGAGCCCUGAUUUAUCAGGGUGACUGCGUACCUUUUGUAUAAUGGGUCAGCGACUUAUAUUCUGUAGCAAGGUUAACCGAAUAGGGGAGCCGAAGGGAAACCGAGUCUUAACUGGGCGUUAAGUUGCAGGGUAUAGACCCGAAACCCGGUGAUCUAGCCAUGGGCAGGUUGAAGGUUGGGUAACACUAACUGGAGGACCGAACCGACUAAUGUUGAAAAAUUAGCGGAUGACUUGUGGCUGGGGGUGAAAGGCCAAUCAAACCGGGAGAUAGCUGGUUCUCCCCGAAAGCUAUUUAGGUAGCGCCUCGUGAAUUCAUCUCCGGGGGUAGAGCACUGUUUCGGCAAGGGGGUCAUCCCGACUUACCAACCCGAUGCAAACUGCGAAUACCGGAGAAUGUUAUCACGGGAGACACACGGCGGGUGCUAACGUCCGUCGUGAAGAGGGAAACAACCCAGACCGCCAGCUAAGGUCCCAAAGUCAUGGUUAAGUGGGAAACGAUGUGGGAAGGCCCAGACAGCCAGGAUGUUGGCUUAGAAGCAGCCAUCAUUUAAAGAAAGCGUAAUAGCUCACUGGUCGAGUCGGCCUGCGCGGAAGAUGUAACGGGGCUAAACCAUGCACCGAAGCUGCGGCAGCGACACUAUGUGUUGUUGGGUAGGGGAGCGUUCUGUAAGCCUGCGAAGGUGUGCUGUGAGGCAUGCUGGAGGUAUCAGAAGUGCGAAUGCUGACAUAAGUAACGAUAAAGCGGGUGAAAAGCCCGCUCGCCGGAAGACCAAGGGUUCCUGUCCAACGUUAAUCGGGGCAGGGUGAGUCGACCCCUAAGGCGAGGCCGAAAGGCGUAGUCGAUGGGAAACAGGUUAAUAUUCCUGUACUUGGUGUUACUGCGAAGGGGGGACGGAGAAGGCUAUGUUGGCCGGGCGACGGUUGUCCCGGUUUAAGCGUGUAGGCUGGUUUUCCAGGCAAAUCCGGAAAAUCAAGGCUGAGGCGUGAUGACGAGGCACUACGGUGCUGAAGCAACAAAUGCCCUGCUUCCAGGAAAAGCCUCUAAGCAUCAGGUAACAUCAAAUCGUACCCCAAACCGACACAGGUGGUCAGGUAGAGAAUACCAAGGCGCUUGAGAGAACUCGGGUGAAGGAACUAGGCAAAAUGGUGCCGUAACUUCGGGAGAAGGCACGCUGAUAUGUAGGUGAAGCGACUUGCUCGUGGAGCUGAAAUCAGUCGAAGAUACCAGCUGGCUGCAACUGUUUAUUAAAAACACAGCACUGUGCAAACACGAAAGUGGACGUAUACGGUGUGACGCCUGCCCGGUGCCGGAAGGUUAAUUGAUGGGGUCAGCGCAAGCGAAGCUCUUGAUCGAAGCCCCGGUAAACGGCGGCCGUAACUAUAACGGUCCUAAGGUAGCGAAAUUCCUUGUCGGGUAAGUUCCGACCUGCACGAAUGGCGUAAUGAUGGCCAGGCUGUCUCCACCCGAGACUCAGUGAAAUUGAACUCGCUGUGAAGAUGCAGUGUACCCGCGGCAAGACGGAAAGACCCCGUGAACCUUUACUAUAGCUUGACACUGAACAUUGAGCCUUGAUGUGUAGGAUAGGUGGGAGGCUUAGAAGUGUGGACGCCAGUCUGCAUGGAGCCGACCUUGAAAUACCACCCUUUAAUGUUUGAUGUUCUAACGUUGACCCGUAAUCCGGGUUGCGGACAGUGUCUGGUGGGUAGUUUGACUGGGGCGGUCUCCUCCUAAAGAGUAACGGAGGAGCACGAAGGUUGGCUAAUCCUGGUCGGACAUCAGGAGGUUAGUGCAAUGGCAUAAGCCAGCUUGACUGCGAGCGUGACGGCGCGAGCAGGUGCGAAAGCAGGUCAUAGUGAUCCGGUGGUUCUGAAUGGAAGGGCCAUCGCUCAACGGAUAAAAGGUACUCCGGGGAUAACAGGCUGAUACCGCCCAAGAGUUCAUAUCGACGGCGGUGUUUGGCACCUCGAUGUCGGCUCAUCACAUCCUGGGGCUGAAGUAGGUCCCAAGGGUAUGGCUGUUCGCCAUUUAAAGUGGUACGCGAGCUGGGUUUAGAACGUCGUGAGACAGUUCGGUCCCUAUCUGCCGUGGGCGCUGGAGAACUGAGGGGGGCUGCUCCUAGUACGAGAGGACCGGAGUGGACGCAUCACUGGUGUUCGGGUUGUCAUGCCAAUGGCACUGCCCGGUAGCUAAAUGCGGAAGAGAUAAGUGCUGAAAGCAUCUAAGCACGAAACUUGCCCCGAGAUGAGUUCUCCCUGACCCUUUAAGGGUCCUGAAGGAACGUUGAAGACGACGACGUUGAUAGGCCGGGUGUGUAAGCGCAGCGAUGCGUUGAGCUAACCGGUACUAAUGAACCGUGAGGCUUAACCUU